CAGUAGCCACGGGAAUACGGAGGGUGCAAGCGUUAUCCGGAUUUAUUGGGUUUAAAGGGUCCGUAGGCGGAUCUGUAAGUCAGUGGUGAAAUCUCACAGCUUAACUGUGAAACUGCCAUUGAUACUGCAGGUCUUGAGUAAAUUUGAAGUGGCUGGAAUAAGUAGUGUAGCGGUGAAAUGCAUAGAUAUUACUUAGAACACCAAUUGCGAAGGCAGGUCACUAAGAUUUAACUGACGCUGAUGGACGAAAGCGUGGGGAGCGAACAGGAUUAGAGACCCGCGUAGUCCCUGUCUCUUAUAA
Molecule: ribosomal RNA, 301 nt
Filed under: uncultured bacterium
Lineage: Bacteria
Description: partial 16S ribosomal RNA
Rfam family: Bacterial small subunit ribosomal RNA
Source: RNAcentral